Molecule: non-coding RNA, 54 nt
Organism: Salmo salar (Atlantic salmon)
Lineage: Eukaryota; Metazoa; Chordata; Actinopteri; Salmoniformes; Salmonidae
Source: Rfam
UGCAUUCACUACUGUAAGUCGCUCUGGAUAAGAGCUUCUGCUAAAUGACGUAAA